Molecule: ribosomal RNA, 405 nt
Filed under: uncultured beta proteobacterium
Lineage: Bacteria; Pseudomonadati; Pseudomonadota; Betaproteobacteria
Description: bacterial SSU rRNA
Rfam family: Bacterial small subunit ribosomal RNA
Source: RNAcentral
AACGCGAAGAACCUUACCUACCCUUGACAUGUCUGGAAUCCUGAAGAGAUUUGGGAGUGCUCGAAAGAGAGCCAGAACACAGGUGCUGCAUGGCCGUCGUCAGCUCGUGUCGUGAGAUGUUGGGUUAAGUCCCGCAACGAGCGCAACCCUUGUCAUUAGUUGCUACGAAAGGGCACUCUAAUGAGACUGCCGGUGACAAACCGGAGGAAGGUGGGGAUGACGUCAGGUCAUCAUGGCCCUUAUGGGUAGGGCUACACACGUCAUACAAUGGCCGGGACAGAGGGCUGCCAACCCGCGAGGGGGAGCUAAUCCCAGAAACCCGGUCGUAGUCCGGAUCGUAGUCUGCAACUCGACUGCGUGAAGUCGGAAUCGCUAGUAAUCGCGGAUCAGCUUGCCGACCGGAAU